Molecule: ribosomal RNA, 253 nt
Filed under: uncultured bacterium
Lineage: Bacteria
Description: partial 16S ribosomal RNA
Rfam family: Bacterial small subunit ribosomal RNA
Source: RNAcentral
UACGGGGGGGGCAAGCGUUGUUCGGAAUUACUGGGCGUAAAGGGCUCGUAGGUGGCCAACUAAGUCAGACGUGAAAUCCCUCGGCUUAACCGGGGAACUGCGUCUGAUACUGGAUGGCUUGAGAUUGGGAGAGGGACGCGGAAUUCCAGGUGUAGCGGUGAAAUGCGUAGAUAUCGGGAGGAACACCAGUGGCGAAAGCGGCUACCUGGCCCAUUCUUGACGCUGAGGCGCGAAAGCUAGGGGAGCAAACGGG